UGGGGAAUGGCUAGGUUCGGGCGCCGAAGAAGGCCGUGCCAAGCUGCGAAAUGCGUCGGGUAGGUGCAAGGAGCCUUUGAUCCGACGAUUGCUGAAUGGGACUUCCUAUACUUCGGUAUAACCAGUAAUGGUAGGGAACGCGGGGGAUUGAAGCAUCCUAGUACCCGCAGGAAAAGAAAUCAAUUGAGAUGCCGUUAUUAAAGGCGAUCGAAAACGGCAUAGGGCAAACCGAAUCCCCUUCCGACGAGGAUGGGGAGAUGUGGAGUUCGGACCCUGUAUGCUCUCGCUCGUAAACCCGAAGUCCGCUGGAACGCGGCGCAAUAUAGGGUGAUAGCCCCGUAGGGAUAAACGAGAAGUGCUUAGCAGGGUAUCCAGAGUACCGCGCGUUGGAUAUCGCGCGCGAAUUUGGGAGGCACAGACUUCCAACCCUAAAUACGUCCCGAGACCGAUAGCGCAAUAGUAGCGUGAGCGAAAGCUGAAAAGUACACCUGACGGAGGGUAAAAAGAGCCUGAAAUCAGACAGCAACAGCCUUAUACGGCAUGAAAGCGACGAAGCGCCGCAGGGCGUGGAGCAGUGUCGUAUUAAUCGUUUUGAAAAACGAGCCAGGGAGUUCUGAUCAAUGGCGAGGUUAAGCGUCACAUACGCGAAGCCGCAGGGAAACCAAACGUCCGCAACACCGCAAGGUGCGAGGGACUAGGUGGGCUCGCCUGUAGUCAUUGGUGGGAGACCCGAAGCCGGUCGAUCUAUGCGUGGGUAGGUUGAAGCCUCCUGAAAAGGAGGUGGAGGACCGAACCAGUGCUGACGUGCAAAUCGCUUGGAUAACCUAUGCAUAGGGGUGAAAGGUCAAUCUAGGCCGGGAAUAGCUGGUUCCUCUCGAAACUUCUCGCAGGAAGACCUCGGUGGAGGCAGAUUGUGCGGUAGAGCUACCGAUUGGGUGCUUAGGGGCCGAAAGGCCUCGGCAUCCUGCCGAACUCCAAACGUGCAAUCACCUGAGAAGCCGGGAUUGAGGGCAUCAGGGGUAAGCUCGAUGUCCGUAAGGGAAUCAACCCAGCCCAGUGUUAAGGCCCCAAAGUGCCGACUAAGUGUUACAAGAAAGGCGUCCGUGGUCGCAAACAACUAGGAGGUGGGCUUAGAAGCAGCCACCCUUUAAAGAAAGCGUAACAGCUCACUAGUCGAGAUCACGGGCCCUGAAAAUGGACGGGGCUAAGUCGGCCGCCGAUACAUUGGAACGCCGCAAUGCGAUUUUGUAGAGAGGUGUCGUGCGCGGGUAGAAGUUGGGCCGUGAGGUCCAGUGGACCGCGUUCGAAUAAGGAUCCUGGUAGGAGUAGUAGCAAAGAACACGGUGAGAAACCGUUCCGCCGAAAGGGCCCGGGUUCCUCGACAAUGAUCGUCAGUCGAGGGUUAGUCGAUCCUAAGCUAGACCUUAAUCGGAACUAGCGAAAGGGAAGCAGGUUAAUAUUCCUGCACCAUUAGCGAAUUUGCUCGUGAGUGGACACAUCGGGGUAUGCCGUACAGGGGCGUCAUACCUGUCCGCCGCGUCGAACCCCAGGAAGAAUCGUAAUGAUGAGAACUGGGCCAUGAUGCGGCGGGGCCGGCGUAGCCCGGCUUUGGCCGAUCCCUGGUGUCAGUGAAAAGACUCACGAUAACAACGCUUUUGUUCGUACCAAGAUCCGACACAGGUGCCCCUAGGUGAGAAGCCUAAGGCGUGUCGGCAUAAUUAACGCGAGGGAACUCGGCAAAUUAGCCCCGUAACUUCGGGAGAAGGGGUGCCAGCCGCGAAAGCGUCUGGUCGCAGUGACGAGGGAGCUCCGACUGUUUAAUAAAAACACAGAUCGCAGCGAGUCCGAAAGGAUGUGUAUUGCGGUUGAAACCUGCCCAGUGCUGGUACCUGAAAACCGGGUCCAACCGGGCGAAGGGCCAGUAAACGGCGGGGGUAACUAUGACCCUCUUAAGGUAGCGUAAUACCUUGUCGCUUAAUUGGCGACUUGCAUGAAGGUCCAACGAGAGCUCUACUGUCCCCGCGUUGAAGCCGACGAAACUGACGUACCGCGUGCACUGUCCGGUACCUUCCACCUGAAAGCGAAGACCCCGUGGAGCUUUACUGCAGCCUGUCGUUGUGCUACGGUAUUGAUUGUGUAGAGUAGGCAGGAGACGUUACCCAGGAGCGGGCGCCAGUCCGCCUCCGAGUCGCCGAUGAAACACUGCCCUCUCGAUACUGUAGCACUAACCUCUAAGGAGGAACACCGGUAGGUGGGCAGUUUGGGUGGGGCGCCACGCCCUCGAAAAUCUAACAAGGGCGCCCAAUGGUCAGCUCAGGUAGGUCAGAAAUCUACCGUUGAGUGCAAAGGCAAAAGCUGGCUUGACGUGGAUUAGCUCAACAAUAAUCCACGAUACGAAAGUAGGGCUUAGCGAACCAAUCAGCCUCAUUUGUGGGGGCGAUUGAUUACAGAAAAGUUACCCCGGGGAUAAUUGAGUUGUCCCCAGCAAGAGUUCAUUCCGACUAGGGAUCUGUGACAGAUACCCUGCCGGGAACGUAUCGACCUGGGGGCUUGCUACUUCGAUGUCGGUUCUCUCUAUCCUGGUGGUGCAUUAGCUGCCAAGGGUGGGGUUGUUCGCCCAUUAAAAGGGAUCGUGAGCUGGGUUUACACCGUCGUGAGACAGGUGUGUUGCUUUUUGGUGGAAGCGCAUUGGUGCCUGAGGGGAAGGUCCCUUUAGUACGAGAGGAACGGGGGAUCGCAGCCGCUAGUGUAUCAGUUGUCUGGCAAGGCAUUGCUGAGCAGCCACGCUGCAGUGGAUAAGAGCUGAAAGCAUCUAAGCUCGAAGCCACCCCUAAGACGAGGCACCUUAGACGCCCGUAAAUGACGGGUUCGAUAGAGUCGGGGUGUAAGUGC
RNAcentral lists this ribosomal RNA (2892 nucleotides) under Methanobacteriota archaeon. RNAcentral describes it as "Euryarchaeota archaeon (groundwater metagenome) 23S ribosomal RNA". It matches the Rfam family "Archaeal large subunit ribosomal RNA". The record is from RNAcentral. Lineage: Archaea; Methanobacteriati; Methanobacteriota.